This 60-nucleotide transfer RNA is filed under the name Hyalella franciscae. RNAcentral's name for it is "tRNA-Leu". Lineage: Eukaryota; Metazoa; Arthropoda; Malacostraca; Amphipoda; Hyalellidae. The record is from RNAcentral.
ACUGCUUAGGCGGAUUAGCGCAUUAAGCUUAGAACUUAAAAUUAGGGCCACCAAGUAGUA